AGAUCCGGGCGCGGAUGGGCAUGCGUCUGAUUAGCUGGUUGGCGGGGCAACGGCCCACCAAGGCAACGAUCAGUAGGGGUUCUGAGAGGAACGGUCCCCCACAUUGGUACUGAGACACGGACCAAACUCCUACGGGAGGCAGCAGUGAGGAAUAUUGGUCAAUGGGCGGAAGCCUGAACCAGCCAAGUCGCGUGAGGGAUGACGGUCCUACGGAUUGUAAACCUUCUUUUGUCGGGGAGUAACGUGCGGGACGGGUCCCGUAUUGAGAGUACCCGAAGAAAAAGCAUCGGCUAACUCCGUG
RNAcentral lists this ribosomal RNA (301 nucleotides) under uncultured bacterium. RNAcentral describes it as "bacterial SSU rRNA". It matches the Rfam family "Bacterial small subunit ribosomal RNA", at positions 211 to 507 of the family's 1533-position model. The record is from RNAcentral.